Oncorhynchus tshawytscha (Chinook salmon) is the source of this 5001-nucleotide long non-coding RNA. The record is from Ensembl. NCBI's taxonomy places the organism in Eukaryota, Metazoa, Chordata, Actinopteri, Salmoniformes, Salmonidae.
UAAAUACAUAUUCUUGUUUUAUUUAUACUUUAUUCAACAUUUAACAAAUGUAACUAAACUCCAUGUUACAGUUAGUUGAAUUGUUUGGUUCCAUGCUUGUGUUUGUUUCAAACUCCAUCCAAUAUUUUAUCUUUAUCACUGACCUCAACCCAGAGUCUUUUAGAGUGUUCACAGACCAUAAAAAUAGAGUAUAUGAAUCCAUAAAUACCUCAUAUAGCACUGUAGUCCACCACAAACAACUGUGACGAUUUACACACAAAAAUAGAGUAUAGUAUACUUCAUUUCAAAUUCAUAUAGUCGUUAUAUCAUUAUAUGGAUACUUAGGUGCUUUUUCAUAAACUGUAAUACAGAGCACUUCGCAUAUAGUGAUAAUCUGUGCAGGACUGUCAGCGAUUGAUCACUAUACAGUAUUCACUAUCAGCAGAGUGGUGUAUACAGUAUUCACUAACAGAGUGGUGCAUACAGUAUUCACUAUUAACAGAGUGGUGUAAACAGUAUUCACUAUUAGCAGAGUGUUGUAUACAGUAUUCACUAUUAGCAGAGUGGUGUAUACAGUAUUCACUAUCAGCAGAGUGGUGUAUACAGUAUUCACUAACAGAGUGGUGCAUACAGUAUUCACUAUUAACAGAGUGGUGUAAACAGUAUUCACUAUUAGCAGAGUGUUGUAUACAGUAUUCACUAUUAGCAGAGUGGUGUAUACAGUAUUCACUAACAGAGUGGUGUAUACAGUAUUCACUAUUAGCAUGGUGUAUACAGUAUUCACUAUUAGCAGUGUGGUGUAUACAGUAUUCACUAACAGAGUGGUGUAUACAGUAUUCACUAUUAACAGUGGUGUACAGUAUUCAUUAUUAGCAGAGUAUACUGUAUACAGUAUUCACUAUUAGCAGAGUAUACUGUAUACAGUAUUCACUAUUAGCAGAGUGGCAUAUACAGUAUUCACUAUUAACAGAGUGCUUUAUACAGUAUUCACUAUUAGCAGAGUAUAUUGUAUACAGUAUUCACUAUUAACAGAGUAUACUGUAUACAGUAUUCACUAUUAACAGAGUAUACUGUAUACAGUAUUCACUGUUAGCAGAGUAUACUGUAUACAGAAUUCCCUAUUAACAGAGUGGUGUAUAUAGACUUCGUUAUUAGUAGAGUAUACUGUAUACAUUAUUCACUAUUAGCAGAGUGUACUGUAUACAGUAUUCACUAUUAGCAGAGUGUACUGUAUACAGUAUUCACUAUUAGCAGAGUAUACUCUAUACAGUAUUCACUAUUAACAGAGUGGUGUAUACAGUAUUCGCUAUUAGCAGAGUGUACUGUAUACAGUAUUCACUAUUAGCAGAGUAUACUCUAUACAGUAUUCACUAUUAACAGAGUGGUGUAUACAGUAUUCGCUAUUAGCAGAGUGUACUGUAUACAGUAUUCACUAUUAGCAGAGUAUACUGUAUACAGUAUUCACUUAACAGAGUGGUGUAUACAGUAUUCACUAUUAGUAGAGUAUACUGUAUACAGUAUUCACUAUUAGCAGAGUGUACUGUAUACCAUAUUCACUAUUAGCAGAGUGGUGUAUACAAUAUUCACUAUUUGCAGAGUGUACUGUAUACAGUAUUCACUAUUAGCAGAGUAUACUGUAUACAGUAUUCACUUAACAGAGUGGUGUAUACAGUAUUCACUAUUAACAGAGUGGUGUACAGUAUUCACUAUUAGCAGAGUGUGCUAUAUACAGUAUUCACUAUUAGCAGAGUAUACUGUAUACAGUAUUCACUAUUAACAGAGCAUACUGUAUACAGUAUGCACUAUUAGCAGAGUAUACUGUAUACAGUAUUCACUAUUAGCAGUGUGUACUGUAUACAGUAGUCACCAUUAGCAGAGUAUACUGUAUACAGUAUUCACUAUUAGCAGAGUAUACUGUAUACAGUAUUCACUAUUAACAGAGUGGUGUAGAGUAUUCACUAUUAGCAGAGUGUGCUGUAUACAGUAUUCACUAUUAGCAGAGUGUACUGUAUACAGUAUUCACUAUUAGCAGAGUGGUGUAUACAAUAUUCACUAUUUGCAGAGUGUACUGUAUACAGUAUUCACUAUUAGCAGAGUAUACUGUAUACAGUAUUCACUUAACAGAGUGGUGUAUACAGUAUUCACUAUUAACAGAGUGGUGUACAGUAUUCACUAUUAGCAGAGUGUGCUAUAUACAGUAUUCACUAUUAGCAGAGUAUACUGUAUACAGUAUUCACUAUUAACAGAGCAUACUGUAUACAGUAUGCACUAUUAGCAGAGUAUACUGUAUACAGUAUUCACUAUUAGCAGUGUGUACUGUAUACAGUAUUCACUAUUAGCAGAGUAUACUGUAUACAGUAUUCACUAUUAACAGAGUGGUGUAGAGUAUUCACUAUUAGCAGAGUGUGCUGUAUACAGUAUUCACUAUUAGCAGAGUGUACUGUAUACAGUAUUCACUAUUAGCAGAGUAUACUCUAUACAGUAUUCACUAUUAACAGAGUGGUGUAUACAGUAUUCGCUAUUAGCAGAGUGUACUGUAUACAGUAUUCACUAUUAGCAGAGUAUACUGUAUACAGUAUUCACUUAACAGAGUGGUGUAUACAGUAUUCACUAUUAGCAGAGUGUACUGUAUACAGUAUUCACUAUUAGCAGAGUAUACUCUAUACAGUAUUCACAAUUAACAGUGGUGUAUACAGUAUGCACUAUUAGUAGAGUAUACUGUAUACAGUAUUCACUAUUAGCAGAGUGUACUGUAUACAGUAUUCACUAUUAGCAGAGUGUACUGUAUGCAGUAUUCACUAUUAGCAGAGUAUACUGUAUACAGUAUUCACUAUUAACAGAGCAUACUGUAUACAGUAUUCACUAUUAGAAGAGUGUACUGUAUACAGUAUUCACUAUUCGCAGAGUGUACUGUAUACAGUAGUCACCAUUAGCAGAGUAUACUGUAUACAGUAUUCACUAUUAGCAGAGUGUACUGUAUACAGUAUUCACUAUUAGCAGAGUAUACUCUAUACAGUAUUCACUUAACAGAGUGGUGUAUACAGUAUUCACUAUUAGUAGAGUGUACUGUAUACAGUAUUCACUAUUAACAGAGUAUACUGUAUACAGUAUUCACUAUUAGCAGAGUAUACUGUAUACAGUAUUCACUAUUAGCAGAGUAUACUGUAUACAGUAUUCACUAUUAGCAGAGUAUACUGUAUACAAUAUUCACUAACAGCUUUUCACUGAAGGUGACAGCUGGACCAGAAGGGCAUAUAGACCGCCCUCAGGACUGACUGACGAAGACACCAGAACACACACACUGAAGUACACACACUCACUGACGUACAGAAACAAACAUACACACUCUCACACACACUGACGUAGGCUAUACAUACAUACAUAUCGUCACACACACACACACACAGCACAGACUCCAUUGAGGACCAAAACGAGGCACGACGGGACUUGGCAGUGCGACAUGGAAUGUUUUAAUCAUUGAUUCUGGAUGGUUACAGUAGUUCUGGAUAAUGCUCGUUGUGACAUAAUGCCAUGUACUCUAAUAGCCAUCGGAAUCCUCCUGCAAGUACAGAGAGGGAAAAGUUACUUCAGGAAUUAUUAGUAUUACAUUAUGUUCCUAUUUGUGUAAUAACUGAUAACAAAUGAUCCCAAAGUGAAUCACAAACAUACCAUAGACGGAGGGUGAUGAUGGUGGAUGAAACCCAAAAACAUUACUGUGAAGUCAUGGGAACCUCACCCUUCUGAACGGAAAUCCACAACAAAAGAAACAAUUAAACACAAACAAAAACUAUGUAAAACAAUCUGAUGAAUGAAACAUGGAGGAUGAUGACUCAGUAAAAACGGGAGGAUGAUGACUCAGUAAAAACGUGAGGAUGAUGACUCAGUAAAAACGGGAGGAUGAUGACUCAGUAAAAACGGGAGGAUGAUGAGGAGUUAACCAUUAAUCACUGAUUCAAUGACAGAGUUACUGUACAGUCCUGUAGGUUCUCUCUCCAACCCUGUUCCUGGAGAGCUACCCUCCUGUAGGUUUUCAUUCCCACCCUGUUCCUGGAGAGCUACCCUCCUGUAGGUUUUCAUUCCCACCCUGUUCCUGGAGAGCUACCCUCCUGUAGGUUUUCAUUCCCACCCUGUUCCUGGAGAGAUACUACCCUCCUGUAGGUUUUCAUUCCCACCCUGUUCCUGGAGAGAUACUACCCUCCUGUAGGUUUUCAUUCCAAUCCUGUUCCCGGAGAGCUACCCUCCUGUAGGUUUUCAUUCCCACCCUGUUCCUGGAGAGAUACUAACCUCCUGUAGGUUUUAACUCCAACCCUGUUCCUGGAGAGCUACCCUCCUGUAGGUUUUCAUUCCAACCCUGUUCCUGGAGAGCUACCCUCCUGUAGGUUUUAACUCCAACCCUGUUCCCGGAGAGAUACCCUCCUGUAGGUUUUCAAUCCAAUUCCAGUUGUAACUAACCUGAUUCAACUUAUUAACCAGCUAAUUACAAGAGUCAGGUGCGCUAGGUUAGGGUUGGAGAGAGAAUCUACAGGAUGGUACAGUAACUCUCCAGGAACAGGGUUGGAGAGAGAACCUACAGGAUGGUACGGUAACUCUCCAGGAACAGGGUUGGAGAGAGAACCUACAGGACGGUACAGUAACUCUCCAGGAACAGGGUUGGAGAGAGAACCUACAGGACGGUACAGUAACUCUCCAGGAACAGGGUUGGAGAGAGAACCUACAGGACGGUACAGUAACUCUCCAGGAACAGGGUUGGAGAGCCUUGGUCUACAGCCUCGGACCCCGAGGUUCCAUCUACAGAAAGCCUGUUGAAAUAGUGAUCUAGAAGAUGUUAAGCGUGACGGUAAAUGUCCCACCUCUGCAGCAUCAUCGCCCUCUGGGUCCGCUGGAGACUCGUUGAUGGGCAAGUCUUUAGACAUAGCAUCUUCAUCCUGCAAUAAUAACACAUUCACUGACCAGGUCAACAAUGGACAAGUGUCCCAAAUAACCCUGUUAGACUAUUACCUUGUGUUAGUUGGUUGCUGCUGC